UGCCAGCAGCCGCGGUAAUACGAAGGUGGCGAGCGUUGUUCGGAUUUACUGGGCAUAAAGGGCGUGUAGGCGGCUUGGUAAGCGGAAUGUGAAAUCCCGGGGCUCAACCCCGGAACUGCACUCCGAACUGCCGAGCUAGAGGAUAGGAGGGGGAUCUGGAACUCUAGGUGGAGCGGCGAAAUGCGUAGAUAUCUAGAGGAACGCCGGUGGCGAAAGCGAGAUCCUGGCCUGUCCCUGACGCUGAGGCGCGAAAGCGUGGGUAGCAAACAGGAUUAGAUA
RNAcentral lists this ribosomal RNA (279 nucleotides) under uncultured bacterium. RNAcentral's name for it is "partial 16S ribosomal RNA". It matches the Rfam family "Bacterial small subunit ribosomal RNA", at positions 506 to 784 of the family's 1533-position model. The record is from RNAcentral.